CAUGGGAUGUCCUUUCUUGCAAGAAAAUGCAUAUUCAUGCAUGCAAAUUAACCACUGGACACAGAAACUAUUAUGUUACAGUUCCAAAUAUUCAUACCAUCACUAUUUGAUGCAUUUAAUCUUGGCAUCAGUGCAAUCGACAAAAUCAUAUGAUUCUGAUAGAAAAGAAAGUUACCACCUUGAAUGAUCGGUCAAAGUAUCAAAACUUUCAGCCUUGAUCAAUAUUAUCAGAAAGUCAGACGGAUAUUUUUGUACAGAGGAAGCCCACUGGUGUUGAUUGUGUCAUCAA
Carya illinoinensis is the source of this 289-nucleotide long non-coding RNA. RefSeq lists it as uncharacterized. The record is from RefSeq and is a predicted model, not a curated record. NCBI's taxonomy places the organism in Eukaryota, Viridiplantae, Streptophyta, Magnoliopsida, Fagales, Juglandaceae. The transcript is spliced from 2 exons.